Molecule: transfer RNA, 83 nt
Filed under: Erwinia phage pEa_SNUABM_29
Lineage: Duplodnaviria; Heunggongvirae; Uroviricota; Caudoviricetes; Chimalliviridae
Rfam family: tRNA
About the family: Transfer RNA (tRNA) molecules are approximately 80 nucleotides in length. Their secondary structure includes four short double-helical elements and three loops (D, anti-codon, and T loops).
Source: Rfam by way of RNAcentral
GGGGAAGUUCCAGAGCGGUUAAAUGGAACAGACUGUAAAUCUGUCGGCUUCGGCCUUCGGUGGUUCAAAUCCACCCUUCCCCA